RNAcentral lists this ribosomal RNA (253 nucleotides) under uncultured bacterium. Its description in RNAcentral is "partial 16S ribosomal RNA". It matches the Rfam family "Bacterial small subunit ribosomal RNA", at positions 524 to 776 of the family's 1533-position model. The record is from RNAcentral.
UACAGAGGUGGCAAGCGUUGUUCGGAAUUACUGGGCGUAAAGGGCGCGUAGGCGGUCUUGUAAGUCUUGUGUGAAAUCCCUCGGCUUAACUGAGGAACUGCACGGGAUACUGCGAGACUUGAGUUCGGGAGAGGGAAGCGGAAUUCCGGGUGUAGCGGUGAAAUGCGUAGAUAUCAUUUGGAACGCCAAUGGUGAAAACAGCUCGCUGGGGGUGUACUGACACUGAGACACGAAAGCCAGGGGAGCGAACGGG